ACUCCUACGGGAGGCAGCAGUGGGGAAUUUUGCGCAAUGGGCGAAAGCCUGACGCAGCGACGCCGCGUGCGGGAUGAAGGCCCUCGGGUCGUAAACCGCUGUCGUGAGGGACGAACAAGUCCGGAAUGAAUAAGUCCGGGCCCUGACGGUACCUCAUGAGAAAGCCCCGGCUAACUACGUGCCAGCAGCCGCGGUAACACGUAGGGGGCAAGCGUUGUUCGGAAUUACUGGGCGUAAAGGGUCCGCAGGGCGGCCGUGCAAGUUGAGGGUGAAAUCCCC
RNAcentral lists this ribosomal RNA (279 nucleotides) under uncultured bacterium. RNAcentral's name for it is "partial 16S ribosomal RNA". It matches the Rfam family "Bacterial small subunit ribosomal RNA", at positions 335 to 604 of the family's 1533-position model. The record is from RNAcentral.